RNAcentral lists this ribosomal RNA (489 nucleotides) under uncultured delta proteobacterium. RNAcentral's name for it is "bacterial SSU rRNA". It matches the Rfam family "Bacterial small subunit ribosomal RNA", at positions 364 to 848 of the family's 1533-position model. The record is from RNAcentral. Lineage: Bacteria; Deltaproteobacteria.
UUGAUCAAUGGGGGAAACCCUGACGCAGCGACGCCGCGUGUAGGAAGAAGGCCUUCGGGUCGUAAACUACUGUCAAGAGGGAAGAAACUGUUAAAGUACAAUAUGCUCUUUCACUGACGGUACCUCUAGAGGAAGCACCGGCUAACUCCGUGCCAGCAGCCGCGGUAAUACGGAGGGUGCGAGCGUUAAUCGGAAUCACUGGGCGUAAAGCGUGCGUAGGCUGCGCUGCAAGUCAGACGUGAAAGCCCUCGGCUCAACCGAGGAAUUGCGUUUGAAACUGCCAUGCUAGAGUCUCGGAGAGGUUGGCGGAAUUCCAGGUGUAGGAGUGAAAUCCGUAGAUAUCUGGAGGAACACCGGUGGCGAAGGCGGCCAACUGGACGAGUACUGACGCUGAGGUACGAAAGCGUGGGGAGCAAACAGGAUUAGAUACCCUGGUAGUCCACGCUGUAAACGAUGGAUAUUAGGUGUCGGGGUUAUAACUUGGUGGCC